RNAcentral lists this long non-coding RNA (7747 nucleotides) under Homo sapiens (human). Its description in RNAcentral is "non-protein coding lnc-SPATA32-2:1". The record is from RNAcentral. Lineage: Eukaryota; Metazoa; Chordata; Mammalia; Primates; Hominidae.
CUUACUCCCUUCAGUGGCUUGGAAAGGAUGCCCCAAGAUAAAGACCCACAGGCACCCUGGCUCUGACAUAUGGCGGGGUAGAAACACAGAUACCUCCUGGCCAUGAUCCGACAACCCCAUUCCCCGCAGCCCAGGCGCCCAACAAAUCAGGACCCAACACCUCCAGCAGGUCUCCCGCUCCCGGGAGGUUGUAACCCUUUCAUCUUUGACUCCAGACACAGAAAGGCAGAUGCCCCAGACCCGCGCCCGGUGGCUGGGCCUGCGUGCAGUGGGGAAGGGGGCGACCCGGGACCCCUGUGCGUGCCCCGCUCCCAACUUCUUCACAGGACAUACUUGUUUAGACCUUAAGACCCAGCUGGGGUGGAGGCGUCUUAGGGAGGGAGACCGGGCGAUAACUGAAGAAAGUUUUGGGGGGAGAGUGCUAAGUCACUCUGAAAAAAAGGCCACUGUCGCUCCCACCUCCUGGAGGGGGCAGCUGCCGGACCGGGGAUCUCCAAGCGGCACCUGAGUCCCCGGGGGCGGGGACGCGCGCCCAGCCCCUGCCGCGCCCCUGCCGCCCCCCGCCCGCGCCCGACCCGCCUCCGGGUCGCACUCACCAGGGCGCGGUUGAACCUCUCCUCCAGCUCUCCGGCCGCGGGCAUCGGCUGCUUGGGAGGCGCGGGCUGCUUGGGGGGCGGCGCGGCGGGGCCCGCGGGCUGCUCGGCGCUGCCGGCCGCGUUGCCCAUGGUGGUCCCCACCCAGCCGGCCAGGCGCCUCCAGCCUCGGAAAUCCAGCUUUCCGGGGGACGGGGACGAGGCUCCCGGCCCGGGCGGGGGCGAGGGGGCAGCGGCUGGCGGUGGCGGCGGGGGUCUCGGCAGCGGGGGGCGCUCGGCUCAGCGGCGCGCAGGGGCCGGAGCGCGGCGUCCCAUCGGGGCGGCCCCGUCCGUGGGACCGGGCGGCGAGCUGCAGGGUUGGGGGAGGAAGUCAGGCUGCAGGCCGCCGGGGCCAGAGGGCUGGGCCGGGGGCAGGAAGCUGCGGCGCUGGCUCCCCCCUCGGCGAUUUUCGAACUUCUGCUGUCGCUCCCCGUGCGCGCAAACCGCAGUUCGCCGCCGCCGCCGCCGGGCACCCAGCCCCAGGGGGGCGGGCUGGAGGGAGGGGGCGGGCGCUGGCCGGGGGACCCCCGCAACCAUGGCGGGCGGGGAGUGGGCUGCCGAGCCGCUUCACCUGCCGCAGAGGGGGCGGCCGGCGCCGCUUCACCUGCCGGAGCGGGAGGCCACCGAGGCGAGGCCGAGGCGGCGGCGCGCUCGGCGGCGCCUCCGGGUCCUAGAACCGCAUCCUCCCGCUCGCCUCGGGCGAGGGAUUGGCCGGGUCUGGGUGAAGGGGAUCACGGCCUGGGGAUUGGAGGGGCACAUCUUCUCCGCACCGAGGAUCUCAGCGACUGCGAGCACGGCUCGGAGACCCACGGUGGUGCAGCGUUGGGGCGCCAGGGCUGCGUUCCCGUCUCGCGUCCCGGACUGAGAAGGUGGGAACCCCCUUCCAGGCCCCCCACCUUUUAUUUCUCUCCUCCCCUGCUUAGCCCAGAGACGAGCUGAGGACGAGGGGGAGCCAUCUCCAAACAGGAACUCCUAAACAGGGUGGGGGGCGCGGACGCAGGCCAGUGGAGACCCCCGCCACCUGUCCCACCUCGACCAACCGUGCGCCUGUGCAGGGCACCCCUACAGGUUUUAGAAUGGGGGCACCUAUGGAAUAUGGCAGGCUGCGAGAAGCUGGGCCCGCCAAGGUGGUCCCAAGGAGGAGUGGGGGGUUGCGGAAAGGAGGAUGAGAGCCAGCCACAAGGCUGGAAAAGGAGUGGGCACCGCAGAGGAGGGAAAAAGAAUCUUGACACUGUCACCGCCAGGGAUCUAGGGGGGCCUCUUACCUUGGAGAAUAACAAUCUCUGAUGUCUGCUAAUUACAGAAAUACUUUCAGAGCUCUUUCAUUCAUCCUGACAAUGGCCAGAGAAGGUAGGUAUUGGUAGCCUUAUUUUAGAGAUGGGGAAACUGAGGCUGAGAGUAGGUAAGUAAGCUGUCCAAGGGCACUCAGCUAACAAAGGACAGAAGCAAGCCUCCUCACUGUCUACCUCCAAAACCUACACUGGCUUGGAGUUGCUGUCCUGGCCCUCCACUGCCCAUCUCAUGUAGGACGGGAGAGUAUGGGGGGCUGGGGUCCCAUCUAUAGCCUGAAUUUGAGACUUUCAGUUGCUCCUCUCAUUCCCCAUUUAAUUUGUGGGGAUCCCCAACUGACCCCUCCCUACACUUCCAGGGCACUGAGGAGGGAGGGCCCGCUGAAGGAGCCCCGAAUUAUCUCUAGGCCAGGUCAGGAGCCAUUAGUGUCCCCUCCCCUGACAGCAUCCUCCUCCUUCUGCCCUCACAUUCAGAGCCACUGACAAGACUUUAAGCAAGAGACGGAGAGUUAACAUCUAAUCUGGAGGAAGACCCUGGAAGGAGCCAGCCCCUUCCCCCAGGCUGACCUGGUUUAAGCCUUUCUUCUGCCAAGGUCACCAGCACCCCAGAUGGGUGAGAGAUGUGAUCACUGGUUUCGUGGCCUGACCAAGGACCUCCAAGGAGGUAUCUUUCCCAUCUUGGCCCACAGAGGAGGAAAUCCUAGAAGGGAUGACUGAAGCUUGGGACUAACACAUUGGUGGAUCUGUGCUACCCCCUGCUGGCCGUAGACGGUAUGACAGCCAAGAUAGGGCAAGGCUUCGAGGGGCGAUGGAUGGAUUCACCGCAGCGGCGACAUUUCUGGACUGUUGUCACCUUCAGUGCAGUCACUGGGAAUAUUCAGAACCCAGGUGAUUGAUAAGGUUUUCCCAGGGAUCUCUUCUCUCCCCUUCACCAUUACUCAGUAGGAGCUUCCUUAAAAACGGAAAACGAGAGGCCGGGCGCGGUGGCUCACGCCUGUAAUCCCAGCACUUUGGGAGGCGGAGGCGGGCGGAUCACGAGGUCAGGAGAUCGAGACCAUCCUGGCUAACACAACCCCGUCUCUACUUAAAAUACAAAAAAUUAGCCGGGCGUGGUGGCACGCGCCUGUAGUUCCAGCUACUCAGGAGGCUGAGGCAGGAGAAUCGCUUGAACCCGGGAGGCAGAGGAGGUUGCAGUGAGCUGAGAUGGCGCCACUGCACUCCAGCCUGGCCGACUGAGACUCCAUCUCAAAAAAAAAAAAAAAAAAAGGAAAAAGGGGCCGGGCGCGGUGGCUCACGUCUAUAAUCCUAGCACUUUGGGAGACCAAGGCGGGCAGAUCACGAGGUCAGGAAUUUGAGACUAGUGUGGCCAACAUGGUGAAACCCCAUCUCUACUAAAAAUACAAAAAAUUAGCCGGGUGUGGUGGCGCAUGCCUGUAAUCCUAGCUACUCGGGAGGCCGAGGCAGGAGAAUCGCUUGAACCCAGGAGGCCGAGGUUGCAGUGAGCCGAGAUCACGCCAUUGCACUCCAGCCUGGGCGACAGAGCAAGACUCCGUCUUGAGGGAAAAAAAAAAAAAAAAGAAAAAGGGGCCAGGCACCUGUAAUCCCAGCACUUUGGGAGGCUGAGGAGGGAAGAUCGCUAAAACCCAGGAGUUCAAGACCAGCCUGGGCAACAUGGUGAGACCCCAUCUCUACAAAAAAUGCAAAAAAAAAAAAAACAAAAACAAAAAAAAAAACAGCUGGGCAUGAUGGUGCGCACCUGUAGUCCCAGCUACUCGGGAGGCUGAGGUGGGAGGAUUAUUUGAGCCUGAGAGGUCAAGGCUGCAGUGAGCCAAGAUCGCAUCACUGCACUCUAGCCUGGGUAACAGAGCAAGACCCUGCCUCAAAAAAAAAAAAAAAAAAGGAAAAAGGUUAUUACACAGUUCAAAAGAGAAACAAAGUGCAAAAGCAUGUGCAAAGAAAGUAAAGUCCCUCCUGGCCAAGUGCGAUGGCUCAAGCCUGUAAUCUCAACACCCUGGGAGGCUGAAGUGGGUAGAUCAUUUGAGGUCUGGAGUUUGAGACCAGCCUGGCCAACAUGGUGAAACCCCGUCUCUACUAAAAAUAUAAAAAUUAGCUUGGCGUAGUGGCGGGUGCCUGUAAUCCCAGGUACUCGGGAGGCUGAGGCAGGAGAAUCACUUGAACUUGGGAGGCGGAGGGUGCCGCGAGCCAAGAUCACGCCAGUGCACUCUAGCCUGGGCAACAGAGCAAGACUCCAUCUCGAAGGAAGGAAGGAAGGAAGGAAGGAAGGAAGGAAGGAAGGAAGGAAGGAAGGAAGGAAGGGGAAAGAAAGGAAAGAUCUCUUGCCAAUCAGCCUCCCUGUUGCCCUGUUUCCCAUUCCCUCCCCAGAGGCAACCACUCUUAACAGUUUUUUUGUUUUUGUUUUUGUUUUUUUUUAGACAGAGUCUCACUCUGUUGCCCAGGCGGCUGGAGUGCAGUGGUGUGAUCUCAGCUCACUGCGACCUCCGCUUCCCAGAUUCAAGCAAUUCUCCUGCCUCAGCCUCCUGAGUAGCUGGGACUACAGGUGUGUGCCACCACGUUCAGCUAAUUUUUGUAUUUUUAGUAGAGACGGGGUUUCACCAUGUUGGCCAGGCUGGUCUUGAACUCCUGACCUCAAGUGAUCCACCCGCCUUGGCCUCCCAAAGUGCUGGGAUUACAGGUGUGAGCCACCGCGCCUGGCCUCUUAACAGUUCUAAUGUAUCUUUGCAGAGCUAUUUGGAGCAUAUGCUGUGUAUAUGUGCGUGUGUGUGUGACACAAAUGAUAGCACACGCUCUACACUGUUCAGCACCUGCUAUUUUCAUGUCAUAAUAUACCUGCCUGUAGAUAGUCAACAUAGUUUUCCAUCGUAUGGUGUGUCACAAUUUAUUUACCAUUCCCCUCCUAGUGGAUAUUUAUGUAUGUCCGCCUUUUAUUACUACAAACAAUGCUAAUUACAGGAAAUAUCUUGGUACAUAUAUUUGCAGACAUAUGUGUGUGUGUGAAAUAAAUUUAUAAGUAUGGCAAUUCUGGGUCAAAGAUUAUGUGCUCUUAAAUGUUUUAUAGGUUUUCACAGAAUUGCCCUCCAAAAAUUUUGUACCAAUUUACAAUCCCCAACAACGGAUGAGAUCACCUGUUUCCCCAAAUCCUCACAAACAGGUUAAUAUCAGGCCUUUUGAUCUUAGGUGAUGACUCUUUAAAAGUCCUGCUCACAGAGCAGUUGAUGAUCUGUCUUUUUCUUUGGGCCGCGGGUUUCUCCAAGGAAGGGACUGUGUCUUUCUCAUACCUACAUCCCCAGUGAAGGACUUGACACCAUCCUUGGGAGUUACUCAAGAAGUGUCUGCUAAAUAUUGAGUGAAAGAAACAGAGCUGCAUUUUGGCAGGCUGGGAGGGAGAGGGUAAAAGGUUAGGUUUGAACAGGAGGCCUGCUUUUUUUUUUUUUUUUUGAGAUGGAGUCUCACUCUGUUGCCCAGGCUGGAGUGCAGUGGCGCGAUCUCAGCUCACUGCAACCUCCAAGGAGGACUGCUCUUUAGGGCCACUUUCUCUUCCAGACCCUGGUCAAGCCUCUGCCCCAAAUCCAAAAGCCUUCCUCUUGCAGGAGCCUCCCAGGUUGCAAGGUCUGAGGUUGAAGGCCCAGAACUCCCAGUGCAGCUUUCACCCAGCUCUGCUGCAUUCCAGGGAUGGGCCCCAUCAUCCCCAAGCUGCCUGAGAACUGGAAACAAACUAGGUGUCCAGCUUUAGGGGAUCAGUUAAACCACUGUCCUAUAGAACUUUCUGCAAUGAUGAAAAUGUUCUCUAUCUGCCCUGUCCAAUAUGGCAGCCACUGGCCACUCGUAGCUACCGAGUAUUCAAGCUGUAGCUAGUUCAACUAAGGAAAUAAAUAAAUGUUACUUAAUUUUAAUUAAUUUCCAUUUAAGUAGCCAUGUGUGGCUACAUAUUGGACAGUGAAGGGUUCAGUAAAUUAUGAUAUAGCCCCACAAUGGAAAACUAUGCAGCUGUAAAAAAAAAAAAUAAUAAGGAUGCCAAGAAAAAUGGAAAGAUCUUCAGGAUAUAUUUUGAAACAAAAAUGUGGUACAGGCUGUGUGCAGUGGCUCACGCCAAUAAUCCCAGCACUUUGGGAGGCCAAGGUGAGAGGCCGAGGCAGGAGGAUCACUUGAGUCCAGGGGUUCAAGACCAGCCUGGUCAACAUAAUGAGACUUCCGUCUCUACAGAAAGUGAAAAAAAAAAAAAAGACAGCAUGGUGGUAUAUGAAUGUAGUCCCAUCUACUCAGGAAGCUGAGGUGGGAGGAUUGCUUGAGCCAGGGAAGUUGAGGCUGCAGUAAGCUGUGAUUGUGCCACCACACUCCAGCCUGUGUGACAGAGCAAGACCCCAUCUAAAAAAAAAAAAAAAGGCCAGGCACGAUGGCUCACACAUGUAAUCCCAGCACUUUGGGAGGCCGAGGACCGUGGAUCACCUGAGGUUGGGAGCUCAAGACCAGCCUGACCAACAUAGAGAAACCUCAUCUCUACUAAAAACACAAAAUUAGCUGGGUGUGGUGGCACAUGCCUAUAAUCCCAGCUACUCAGAAGACUGAGGCAGAAGAACCACUUGAACCCAGGAGGCGGAGGUUGCGGUGAGCCAAGAUAGUGCCAUUGCACUUCAGCCUGGGUAACAAGAGCGAAACUCUGUCUCAAAAAAAAAAAUGUGGUUCAGAACAGUAUACAUAGUAUGUCAUCUUUUUUGAAAGAAAGGCAGGUAGGCCGGGCGCAGUGGCUCACACCUGUAAUCCCAGCACUUUGGGAGGCCGAGGUGGGCGGAUCACGAGGUCAGGAGAUUGAGACCAUCCUGGCUAACGCGGUGAAACCCUGUCUCUACUAAAAAUACAAAAAAUUAGCCGGGCGUAGGUGGUGCACUCCUGUAGUCCCAGCUACUCGGGAGGCUGAGGCAGGAGAAUGGCGUAAAACCCGGGAGGCUGAGCUUGCAGUGAGCCAAGAUCGCGCCACUGUACUUCAGCCUGGGAGACAGAGCGAGAUUCCGUCUCAAAAAAUAAAAAAAAAAGAAAAAGAAAGGCAGGUAGAGGAGGCUGGAUGUGGUGGCUCAUGCCUGUAAUACCAGCACUUUGGGAGGCCAAGGGGGACAGAUCACUUGCAGAAAUGUGAGACCGGCCUGGACAACAUGGUGAAACCCCAUCUCUACACAAAAUACAAAAAUUAGUUGGACGUGGUAGUGCGCACCUGUAGUCCCAGCUACUCAGGAGGCUAAAGUGGGAGGGUUGCUUGAGCUGGGGAAGUCAAGGCUGCAGUGAGCCAAGAUUGCACCACUGCACUCCAGCAGGGGUGACAGAGGGAGACAGCAGGAGUGACAGAGUGAGACCCUGUCUCAAAAAAAAAAAGAAAAGAGCUUUGCACAGUGGUAGUAUCGUAGCCAAUGAAUGAAAGGGAGGUGGAAAUAAAAAUAAAUGUUUAUAUUUGCUUGAAUUUGCAUAGGGAAAGCAAUAACAGUGGGUGACCUAUAGGGAGCUGGGGAAUCCUGUUGCGGGGGUAGGCAAGGACAGGGUGGGAACAGAGCUUUCCAGUGAAUUUCUUUAUAUUUCAUUUUGGUUGUUGAAACAUGUACAUAUAUUACCUAUUCAAAAAGUUAAAUUAAGGUCAGGUGCAGUGGCUCAUGCCCGUAAUCCCAGUACUUUGGGAGGUUGAGGUAGGAGGAUCACUUUACCCCAGGAGUUGGAGACCAGCCUGGGCAAUAUAGUGAGACCUCCUUUCUACAAAAAGUUUACAAAUUAGCCAUAAGCCAGGUGCGGUGGCUCACACCUGUAAUCCCAGCACUUUGGGAGGCG